This is a small nucleolar RNA of Brassica oleracea var. oleracea, 72 nucleotides long. It matches the Rfam family "Small nucleolar RNA Z199". Rfam says of the family: snoZ199 is a C/D box small nucleolar RNA, which acts as a methylation guide RNA for sites on 18S and 25S rRNA. Rice snoZ199 is reported to be homologous to Arabidopsis snoR13. NCBI's taxonomy places the organism in Eukaryota, Viridiplantae, Streptophyta, Magnoliopsida, Brassicales, Brassicaceae. The record is from Rfam.
GGAUCAGUUGAUGAGCAAAUACUGCAACAAUAUGAACUAUAUGAUUAUUAGUAUUUUAUUUCUCUGAUGAUC